This 113-nucleotide small RNA is filed under the name Oxobacter pfennigii. Its description in RNAcentral is "STnc490 Hfq binding RNA". It matches the Rfam family "STnc490 Hfq binding RNA". The record is from Rfam by way of RNAcentral. Lineage: Bacteria; Bacillati; Bacillota; Clostridia; Eubacteriales; Clostridiaceae.
AACCCCACGUUAGACGUGGGGUUCAGGAGAGCUUACAGCGAUGAGGAAGACAUAAAAACUCCUUUUGAUAUAAUAAAGUUGCGGUCUGCCAACUGCAACAAGUAUAUCAAAAG